AUUGAACGCUGGCGGCAGGCCUAACACAUGCAAGUCGAGCGGAUGAAGGGAGCUUGCUCCUGGAUUCAGCGGCGGACGGGUGAGUAAUGCCUAGGAAUCUGCCUGGUAGUGGGGGAUAACGUCCGGAAACGGGCGCUAAUACCGCAUACGUCCUGAGGGAGAAAGUGGGGGAUCUUCGGACCUCACGCUAUCAGAUGAGCCUAGGUCGGAUUAGCUAGUUGGUGGGGUAAAGGCCUACCAAGGCGACGAUCCGUAACUGGUCUGAGAGGAUGAUCAGUCACACUGGAACUGAGACACGGUCCAGACUCCUACGGGAGGCAGCAGUGGGGAAUAUUGGACAAUGGGCGAAAGCCUGAUCCAGCCAUGCCGCGUGUGUGAAGAAGGUCUUCGGAUUGUAAAGCACUUUAAGUUGGGAGGAAGGGAAGUAAGUUCAUACCUUGCUGUUUUGACGUUACCAAAAGAAUAAGCACCGGCUAACUUCGUG
Molecule: ribosomal RNA, 484 nt
Filed under: uncultured bacterium
Lineage: Bacteria
Description: partial 16S ribosomal RNA
Rfam family: Bacterial small subunit ribosomal RNA
Source: RNAcentral